GCAUAGCCAUGUCAGGAUCUCCGUCUUCUUCUUCGACCAAAGCAACCUCCUAUCUCCACCUUUCCCUUCCUCUUGCUUCCUUGGGUCACAGUGUCGAUUGGUGAAGUUCAGCAAUGGCGCCGGUUCUCAUCCUCUAAAGUCGACGGCAUUCCUCCAGCGCAGCAGUCGGGUGACGGUCACCGGCGGCAGCAGCUACGAGCUUGAACAGUGGGGAUCACGCGAAGACUCAGCAAGCUCCGGUUCGUCCCUCCGGCGAGCAGUAGCAACGGAGGAAGUAGGUAAUCCGGCGACGAGCAACGACAUUGAGAACCCGUCGGUUGUCUCCUCCCCGUGAAGCCCUUCCGGCAAGAGUGGCGCGACGGUGGUCGUUGGUGGAGAUGGUUUUCCCUCCCCUGUUCACCUCCGGCGACAUCCCCUGUUUGAGGUGAGCAAAGCCUACGGUAGUAGCAUCUCCGGGCAGUGGCGGUGGACUUGGCGGUAGCUGGUGGCGGUACUGGAAGUUCCGUGAAGCUGAGUCGCGAUCUCAUCUCUUCAUCUCUUCAUCUCCUGAUUCGGCGUUCGACGAGCGAUAUGGCAGUGGUUUUCUCCUCCCGUUCGGCGUGGAUAGCAUGAGGCGGUUGACGGCAGGAUGGGUUAGGCAGAUCAGCUCAGGCGUGGUCUAGGAUUAAGCGUGAAAAUUUAGGGGUGUCACACGUAUCCGCGAUGGAGGAAGAGAGACAUCUCGAUUGUGAUCCAAUGGAAAUCAUUUGCGGGUUGUGUGCUUGUGAGAAGAGAAGGAAGGAAAAGGAAGUAGAAGAGACUACCUCUUGUAGUCAAAACCUUACCUCUUGUAGCUGAGAAGGAGAUGUGAAGGAGAACCAUGAAGAGAUCACCUCUUGUGAUCUCGGGAGCAAAGGAAAAGAGAAUGUGCUUCCCAAGCACGAAUCAAUCACCCUGAAGAAGAAAGAUAGGGCAA
Long non-coding RNA from Ipomoea triloba (trilobed morning glory), 955 nucleotides. RefSeq lists it as uncharacterized. The transcript is spliced from 2 exons. Lineage: Eukaryota; Viridiplantae; Streptophyta; Magnoliopsida; Solanales; Convolvulaceae. The record is from RefSeq and is a predicted model, not a curated record.